UAUUAGCUUACUAUUUAUUUCUAUUUGUUCAGGAACUAUUUGCUUGGUUGGAAACUAUUAAUACUGUUGUUGCCAGGUUUAGUUCUCCUCCUCUCCCUGCUCCAGUCUCCAGUUCAGCAAAGUUCCAGCGUCCCCUGUUCCCUUCUUCAUGUUCUCGAUUAUCACUAGCUGAUCAGCUGACUUCUCACCGCCAGCAGCUGGAUCAGCUGGAACAACAGCUGAUCCUCAGUAGCUCCAAUCCACCAUCUGGCGGUAAAAAGUUUCAAGACAAUGAAAAGCUUGAGUUCUUACAAAGUGAGAAGGACAGAUUCCAAGUUUAUAUUCGUUGUUUGGAAACUCUGAAGAGCAAACAUGAAUCCCAGCUUCUCUCCAGUCCUAUGAGACUGAUGGCGCAGUAGACCUGGCAUCAGAUUGUCUCGCAGUGAAUUGACAGCUGAUUCAAUUUGUUGGUAGCUGAUAUAAUUUUCACAGUUGAUUUAAUUAGGCUUACUGCUGAUGAAGUUUAAUUGACAGCUGAUUUAUUUUAUUUGUCAGCUGUAAAUAUCUAAUUGACCAACUUUUGUGAUGGUGUCAGCUGACUAAUCAAUGCAGUCAUCCCCAAUUGUCCCCUUGUCUCAUUGUCCCCUUGUCCUCUUCAGCCUGAUCGACCCAUUUUAGGACAAUGGGACUCAAAACAGUGAUAUUUCUUACUUCCAAAGUAGAUUGUGGCCAAAUUCAGGUUUUCAAGGUGCAGAUUGCAGAAUUUCAUAUUUAGACAUUAAUCAUUUUAUAGAGACUGUUAUUGUAAUUUCAAGUGACCCACCAUUUAAAGAGGACUAUGUAUGAUUCACAACGGUACGGUACUUAGUGGAAUAAAAAAUUGUUUACUUAUGGCAAUUUUCUGCGUUGUUAAUGUUAUUUGCAAAAUGCUUAUCUAAAGAACCUACAUUUGAACAUGAGCAAUUUUCAAAGAGGAAUACAUGUAUUUUUAUUUUACUCUGAAUCAGAGGAAAGCUUCAAUGGGUACAGUUUAUAAUUGGACAUGCCGCACUGUAGAUGAAUGGUCACUCAAGUUAACAAGUACAAUCUCUCUAGCUCUCUCUCUAUAUACAUAUAUAUAAAUAUUAAUAAUAAUUUAACGAGAUAUCACAAUACUACGUUACUUGAUAAUUGCGCAUUAAACUAUAAAUCGUAGUAUUUACAUUGUACAAGUAUGAUUUUGUUUUCAAGUACUUCAGCUUACAGGAUGGAGUACAAUAACAUUUAUGUACCAUGCAUAUUUUUCUCGAUAUGUUCAAACAAAUAAGUUUUUAACAUUUCCCACUGCAGUCAAUUUCAGAUUGUCACUCAGAAAAAUACACAAAUUUUUUAUAAAAACUUACCUUUAAUGAAAAAAUUCUAACAUUUAUUUUAAUGAAUUGAAAAGAGAAAUGAUUUUUUAAAACGCACUAUUUUUAGGCAGAAAUUAAAAAAAUUCAAAUUGUAAACAAUAAGUAUGAUUUAAGAAAUGUAGGGUAACCCACAAAUGAUGAGACUUCAGUAAAUUACCUGAUAUUGUAGAAAUCACAAACUAAGAAUCCCCAAGGGAUGGAAGGAUAAAAUAGAAUCCAGGAGUCAGUCGGACAGGAGCCAGGAACAAGAGAAGAUUUUCAAGCUUACUCUCAACAUAUUUACUUAAUCUGUAAUAUAUUAUAUCCUAAAGUAUCAGUAAAUAUAUAAUCUUGCAGUGGUGACCCCGAAGGAAGAAAAAUGGUUGUAACAAAUGUUGUUUCCUUGAAAUUGCCGCAGUUUUGAGCCGACUGGGCCAAGAUAUGGUUUGCACAGGCUAAAUCCCAGUUUGUAAUCAGGAAUGUUACUGUAGAGAUCACUUAAUAUCAUCACCUUCUAGCAGCUCUUCAGAAGGAUGUAGCUAUUACUCUGACAGAUGUCUUUGAACAUGUUCCUGAUGAAAAUUCAUACACUGCUCUGAAACUCCCGUCAUUUGAUGAAAUAUACCCAUACUGAUCUUCAGAAGGCUGAGAUGAAAUGCUCUCUGCCUGAUAUUGGAGAUCGAAAACCAUCUGAUCUUAUGGAUUUAAUGUUGGAUCUGUGUCCUAUUGGACUUCUCUUUAAAAUUCAAUGAUGUUGAUGGACCAAACCUCUGUAGAAUGAAAAACUCCACAUACCAGUCUUCUAGCAACACAUCAGUUUCAGACUCAGUGGCUUUCACAGAAAAAUUAAGGUGUAACAUAGCAGAACCUUUCAGAUUUUAAAGACAUUAUCAUUCCUGUUGUGUUUUUCAACUGUUGGACCUGUGGACAAGGAUCCUCAUAGGCAAGGGUGUGAAGAUGUCCUCAAUAUCAACGGGGUGGGAACCUUUUUCAACAUCCAUGCGGAAAACUGUGGGACAGCCAUUUUGAAGUGUAAAAAUUACACGUUUACAUAAAAAAUAUGAUUAUUUUAUUUAUUCAUGAAACAGUAACAUUUUAUACUUUUAGGAUCAAAACUGAUGCAAGAUAAUCUUGGAGAUGAAUUUUUGUCGGAUCCUCAUGAAAAUAAGAAGAAACCGAUGCAAGAGAAGAAUCAAGACGAGUAAGAAGUUGAUGAUAAUGAAAGUAA
Molecule: long non-coding RNA, 2577 nt
Organism: Eurytemora carolleeae
Lineage: Eukaryota; Metazoa; Arthropoda; Copepoda; Calanoida; Temoridae
Exons: 4
Source: RefSeq, a predicted model, not a curated record